RNAcentral lists this ribosomal RNA (478 nucleotides) under uncultured bacterium. Its description in RNAcentral is "bacterial SSU rRNA". It matches the Rfam family "Bacterial small subunit ribosomal RNA", at positions 379 to 872 of the family's 1533-position model. The record is from RNAcentral.
AAGCCUGAUGCAGCGACGCCGCGUGAGGGAUGACGGCCUUCGUGUUGUAAACCUCUUUCAGCAGGGAAGAAGCGCAAGCGACGGUACCUGCAGAAGAAGCGCCGGCUAANUACGUUCCAGCAGCCGCGGUAAUAUGUAGGGCGCAAGCGUUGUCCUGAAUUAUUGGCGUAAAGAGCUGGUAGGCGGCUUGUCACGUCGGUCUGAAAGCCCGGGGCUUAACCCCGGGUCUGCAGUCGAUACGGGCAUGCUAGAGUUGGUACGGGAGAUCGGAAUUCCUGGUGUAGCGGUGAAAUGCGCAGAUAUCAGGAGGAACACCGGUGGCGAAGGCGGAUCUCUGGUCCAUACUAACGCUGCGGAGCGAAAGCGUGGGGAGCGAACCGGAUUAGAUACCCUGGUAGUCACGCCGUAAACGGUGGGAUCUAGGUGUGGGCUACAUUCCACGUCGUCGGUGCCGCAGCUAACGCAUUAAGUGCCCCGC